GGGAAACGUGCCAUGAUGUCACAUGGCAGUCAUGGGAAAGGACAUGCCUGGCAAUGGUGUUGGCCUUGUUUUCUUCUGGGAUGGGGUCACUGGGCUGUGCUGGGACUGAGAGGAUCUGGAUCUGAGCCCCCAGCUGUGACAAAGCCCUGUGAGCCUGGGCAAGGGGGAGGCUGCAUUUGCUGGGAAGAAACUCCUUUGAUUCCAGUGUGGAGAAAGAGAGAAGCGUGCAGAUUUAAACUGCAUCAGGAGAGUUCAAGCCAGACACGUGGAAGAACAUCCAGGCUGAGGGUGCUGAGAAGGAAAGGGGAAGUAAGCACCUGCCCACUUGACAGUGUUGAAGGGGAGCAGAACUUGUCACCCCAAAAUAUGCCUUUUUGGCAUAAAGAUUAUUUUAGACUGAUUAUUUUUAAGAAACUGCAAACACUGGAGAAGCUAUGAAAACCAAUAAAAAUUACCCUCUUGUAAGAGACAUUUACAUUUAUAGGGGAAAUCUCUAUUUGUAAAGAUGUCUCCCUCUCUAUACCAGGAAGAGAAAGAUGACUUUAAAUCUGUAGAAACUCUUAUCAACGGAGAAGGCAGACUUCAAUCUGCAUUACAGCCUUACCCUUGUUUACUUGCUUUCCUGUAAACCUCCCCUAACGGGCCUCCCCACUACAACACCUUCUUUUGUCUUUAGCUGGAGAUGUUAUUUAAGGUGAUGUCGGUCAACAUCUUGGGCCAUUUCGGGGAGUUACUCAGUUUUUCAGGGUCUCUACCACAUAUACAAGAGGUGUACAUGUUAUUAAAUUUCUGUUUGUUUCUCUCCUGUUAAUCUGUCCUUUUUAUUGUAGGGUGGUCUCAGCCAAGAACCUAGAAGGGUAGAGGGAAAAUUAUUUUUCCUCCCCCACAGUAUCAUCAGCUCUUAGGACAGGAAAUGGCAAAGCCAGUUCCCUAAUUAGGACCCCGUAAGAGUCAAUUACCUGGAGCUACAGCCAAGGGGAAAAUCAAUCAGGGCAGAGAUGAGCUUUCUCAAAGAUCUUUCUGGCUUUGGGCAGGGGAGAGGGUGGCAGGGAUGGGAAAGAAAUGUAGUCUCCCAAGCUGAGGUCCAGGCCUAUCUAAAGGCUUAAUAUUUGUAAAGGUCUGGAAUUGCGAUGGGGGCAAAGGAGGGCUGAAUAAUUUAUAAAGAAAGCAAGUGGAGAAGUGGCUGUUGCUGAUGCUGAGGUCGUGCCUUGUUAGUCUCAAAGCAGUACGCUUGCCCUCCUGGGACAAAAAGCGCAUGUGGUGAUGUUGGAGGAGGCGGGGUACUGUUACCAAGCCCUAAGGGACCGGUGACCUGAAAGUGGGUCUUUUUGCUCUGAGUCACUUGUGCCAACAGAACGAGACUGGGCUCAGAACAGCAGAGGAGAAAUUUUAGUCGCACAUUGAGGACUGGAGAAGAGAAAGCUUGUGCUCUACAGACAGCUUCUCCUUGAAGAUGAGGAAAUGGAGAACAAGGAGGAGGAGCCACGGGAUCAUCAGGACUCUGGAAAAGGGGCAGAGACUUCCAGGAACAGUUGGUACAUGCGCAGUUCUCCAAACUCCUGUGCACAUGGCGCCAAGGUGCCUAGCAAGGUACAAUAAACUCUGUGCUACAGAAGAUCCCAAGCCACCAAUGCCUCUUGGAGCUCUCUCAUCCAGAGGCUCCCCAUCAUGAUGAACAUCAUCAUCUAUACAGGAAAGAGCCUCUCCAUCUCCCUCUCCCAAAGAUGCUGAAUCGAUUUCCCCAGUCUUUGAGUCUGGCCUUCUCUUGUGACUUGCUUUGAGCAGCAGAAUGUGGCAGAAGGGCUACUGCAUGAGUUCCAGAGCUGGGGUCUCUAGACCCCUGCAGCUUCUGCUUUUCAUCAGAAUACAGCCGGCAGACCACAGAAGAAGGCAGCAAGUCCAGCCUCCUGGAGGGCCCUCAUUCACUGGACCCAAGUUGGGAGAGGAAGAGUUUUCCUCCCAAUAGAGGCUAUGUGGAAAAGAAUAGAGAAGCCCCAACAUAUAGCCAGUCCCAAGACUCUAGAAGAAGUCUGGGUGAGGCUAUCUUGGAUCUUCCAGCCCAGCUAAGCCCAGUCAGCAGCUGAAUGUAUCUACAUGAGAGCCCAGGCAAGACCAGCAGAACUGCCCAAUCAAUCCAAAGAAUUGUGAGAGAUAAUAAAUAUUUGUUGUUUUAAACCACUAAGUUUUGGGGUGAUUUGUUAUAUAGCACUAGGUAACUAAUAAACUCAGAGUUUCCAUUUCCUACACACUCUGUACUUUUCUCGUUCUGUUUCCUGCUUGGAACGCUCCCAUCAUGGCCCUA
This 2302-nucleotide long non-coding RNA is filed under the name Equus asinus (donkey). RNAcentral describes it as "lncRNA (ENSEASG00005031091.1)". The record is from RNAcentral. Lineage: Eukaryota; Metazoa; Chordata; Mammalia; Perissodactyla; Equidae.